AUGGCUUUGCCUUCCUUUCUCUUGCAGAGGGAACAGCCAGCUGUUGGCAAUGCCCAGUUGCUGCUAGAAUCUGGACAUGUCUUCUUUCAGCUUCUCAGCAGUCUUGACCCUCUGAAAUACAGUGCCUCAUUGUCCUUAGGGGGUGUACUAGGGGGGCAGGGGAGUUGCCUGGGGCAUUCCGGGCUAUGGAGCCUCCCUGUUUCCAUGGAAAGUCUGGACUUUGGGCUUGCCUGUCUGUGGUGCCUCUGUGUGUUGGGCUGGGGUCAGGGCACCCAGCUGCCGGGCCCGCAGCAGAGGCAGCCCCAGGGAGUGAUGCUGUGUUCCGCGGCAGGGCCGGGUCUCCUCCUGGGCUGUGCACUAGAAUCUCGUUUGGCUGCACCAGAUGCCUGUCCUCCAAGGCACCACGGGCUUGGCCUCAGCAGCUCCAGUCCUCUCACUGGUCUUCUCCUUCGCCUGCAGUGAGCUUGCUUGGGGAGGUUCUUCGAAUACUCUCUUUCUGCCCCAGGUUUAU
RNAcentral lists this long non-coding RNA (511 nucleotides) under Mustela putorius furo (domestic ferret). Its description in RNAcentral is "lncRNA (ENSMPUG00000030529.1)". The record is from RNAcentral. Lineage: Eukaryota; Metazoa; Chordata; Mammalia; Carnivora; Mustelidae.